UCAUCUCUAUCCUUUCCACUCUCUCCAUUUUCUCCCUCUCCCAAAUCUGUACAAGUGCUUGGUGUUCCCGGAGGGGUUCUUUGACCUUCAGAUCCGACCGCUCCUGCACUACCAGACAGAGAGAAGGAUGGCCGGUGCAUCUGGUCAAGAGGUUUGUGGAGUUUGUUUCAACCAUUGCAACUAUGAGAGCAAGGGAAGUGGUUUCAGCAUGUUUGCAUGGGAGGAGUCCAACAAUGCAGGGUUUUUUGUGUGUGUUCAAAUCAGGUUGUGCCUUGCAAUGAAAGGGCCCGUUUCAACAAUGUGACAGGAGAUAGGGUGAUGUUUGUGGCAAACCAACGGACAUACACUGUAAAGUGUUACAAGGGUCGUACAAAGAGCGCUAUGUAUGGGAGAGGUUGGAGGAAGUUCUAUGAUGACAACAAGCUGGGGAAGGGUCAGAUGGUGGUGUUCUUCCUGGAUGAACCUUCGCCUAGGGCAGCUAUUUGUGUGAUCCAGGUGGGCAACGGCUCCGAAGAUGAACAGCCUAUGGAAGAGGGUGAUCCCAUUGAAGAUUCAUAUUCAGAUGAUGAGGAUGGAGAAGCUUCAAGUGAUGGUGGUGAAGGCAUUGUUCGCACUAUGGUGCUUCUGCUUAAUGAGACAUAGGGUUUUCAGCUACA
Molecule: long non-coding RNA, 656 nt
Organism: Triticum urartu
Lineage: Eukaryota; Viridiplantae; Streptophyta; Magnoliopsida; Poales; Poaceae
Source: RefSeq, a predicted model, not a curated record